CUCCGCCCACCUCCUCCCUGCCCUCCUCCCGGGGAGGAGACGCCGCUCCAGCGGGAGGCAGGAUGGUUGCUACCUGGGGCGGCCGCCAGCUCCUCCCGCAGGGCUCCGGGCCGCCCCUCGCCCCAGGGUCGCCGGCUCCUAGUGCGGCCCAGGCUUCCCGGCCGGCCCCUCCCAGACCUAGGAAGACGUCCCCCGGGCCCCCUCAGCCCUCCACCUCCCCUCUCUCCCUUUCUCCCGGCUCCUGGCAGGCUGCAGCCGUCUCCUCCUGGUGCUCCCUCCUUCCUUGAGCUCUGUCCACCGCUGCCCACUGGGGGCUACAGCUUCUCGGCUACCCUGGAAGCUGGAGGCCGGGACCAGCUCUUCAGGUGACAGGCCUCUGUGUCUCCACAGUGGGCAGAGGGGAGCCUGCCUGGCUGAUGAGCAAGGCUCGACUUUGUCACCAAGGCAGAGAAGGGGCCCGGGUAAAUGACCCCGGCGGCCCCCACCCCUGCCUGGCGUGAGAGUGGGUAGGGGCUUCGGACUUGAGGGGACUGGAGCGGGAAUAAGGGUCUUCUCCGGCUCAGCCUUUGACUGAAGCUGGUCUGGAGACAGGGGCGUUAGAGAAGUGACUCAUAGAUGACCUAAAGAAGCGGGGCCACUCAAGGACCCAGGACAGAGGGAAGAGGGCCAACCCAGCUGGACCGCAGGCAAACCCCAUGGCCUUUGAGAGAAGAGAGAAGAGGACCCGGUGAAGUAGACUCGGAGGGCCUCAGCCCAGCAGGAGUGCGGGGUGGGCGUGUGAUGUCAGCGAAGGGAGGACAGUGACCUGGGGGAGGGCCGCUUUGAGGGAGAGUGCAGGCCAUGGCCAGACAGCUCUGGGAGUCGCGGGCAGGGGAGACUUUCAGAUAUUGCUUGUCCAAGGGGUGGGGGUGGAAGGGAGAGAGAACAGAGAGGCUCGAGAGGAUGUAG
RNAcentral lists this long non-coding RNA (948 nucleotides) under Pongo abelii (Sumatran orangutan). RNAcentral's name for it is "lincRNA". Lineage: Eukaryota; Metazoa; Chordata; Mammalia; Primates; Hominidae. The record is from RNAcentral.